CGCGCAGGCGGGCCGGCAAGUUGGAAGUGAAAUCUAUGGGCUUAACCCAUAAACUGCUUUCAAAACUGCUGGUCUUGAGUGAUGGAGAGGCAGGCGGAAUUCCGUGUGUAGCGGUGAAAUGCGUAGAUAUACGGAGGAACACCAGUGGCGAAGGCGGCCUGCUGGACAUUAACUGACGCUGAGGCGCGAAAGCGUGGGAGCAAACA
Molecule: ribosomal RNA, 206 nt
Filed under: uncultured bacterium
Lineage: Bacteria
Description: partial 16S ribosomal RNA
Rfam family: Bacterial small subunit ribosomal RNA
Source: RNAcentral